GGCCAGACUCCUACGGGAGGCAGCAGUGAGGAAUAUUGGUCAAUGGGCGGGAGCCUGAACCAGCCAAGCCGCGUGAGGGAAGAAGGUACAGCGUAUCGUAAACCUCUUUUGUCAGGGAACAAAGGCGGGGACUAGUCCCCGGAUGAGGGUACCUGAAGAAAAAGCAUCGGCUAACUCCGUGCCAGCAGCCGCGGUAAUACGGAGGAUGCGAGCGUUAUCCGGAUUUAUUGGGUUUAAAGGGUGCGCAGGCGGAAGAUCAAUUCAGCGUUAAAAUUGGGAGGCUCACCCUCUUCGAGCCGUUGAAACUGGUUUUCUUGAGUGAGCGAGAAGUAUGCGGAAUGCGUGGUGUAGCGGUGAAAUGCAUAGAUAUCGCGCAGAACUCCGAUUGCGAGGGCAGCAUGCCGGCUCCACACUGACGCUGAGGCACGAAAGCGUGGGUAUCGAACAGGAUUAGAUACCCCAGUAC
RNAcentral lists this ribosomal RNA (466 nucleotides) under uncultured bacterium. RNAcentral describes it as "bacterial SSU rRNA". It matches the Rfam family "Bacterial small subunit ribosomal RNA", at positions 329 to 793 of the family's 1533-position model. The record is from RNAcentral.